CAAGGAAGGCAGCAGGCGCGCAAAUUACCCACUCCCGGCACGGGGAGGUAGUGACGAAAAAUAACGAUACGGGACUCAUCCGAGGCCCCGUAAUCGGAAUGAGUACACUUUAAAUCCUUUAACGAGGAUCAAUUGGAGGGCAAGUCUGGUGCCAGCAGCCGCGGUAAUUCCAGCUCCAAUAGCGUAUAUUAAAGUUGUUGCGGUUAAAAAGCUCGUAGUCGAAUCUGUGUCGUGCGCCGCCGGUUCAUCGCUCGCGGUGUCAACUGGCGUGUCGCAGGACGUCCUGCCGGUGGACUUAGCCGUCUCGUCGUCCCGUCGCCGCUCCUCUCGCGGGGAGUCGGUCGGUCGGUGCGCCUGGCGGCGGUCCAACUUCAACAAUCCCACCGCGGUGCUCUUCGCUGAGUGUCGAGGUGGGCCGGCACGUUUACUUUGAACAAAUUAGAGUGCUUAAAGCAGGCUAAAACUUCGCCUGAAUACUGUGUGCAUGGAAUAAUGGAAUAGGACCUCGGUUCUAUUUUGUUAGUUUUCGGAACCCCGAGGUAAUGAUUAAUAGGAACGGAUGGGGGCAUUCGUAUUGCGACGUUAGAGGUGAAAUUCUUGGAUCGUCGCAAGACGGACUUAAGCGAAAGCAUUUGCCAAAAACGCUUUCAUUGAUCAAGAACGAAAGUUAGAGGUUCGAAGGCGAUCAGAUACCGCCCUAGUUCUAACCAUAAACGAUGCCAGCUAGCGAUCCGUCGACGUUCCUCCGAUGACUCGACGGGCAGCUUCCGGGAAACCAAGCUUUUGGGUUCCGGGGAA
RNAcentral lists this ribosomal RNA (798 nucleotides) under Operclipygus latemarginatus. RNAcentral's name for it is "bacterial SSU rRNA". It matches the Rfam family "Eukaryotic small subunit ribosomal RNA", at positions 417 to 1121 of the family's 1831-position model. The record is from RNAcentral. Lineage: Eukaryota; Metazoa; Arthropoda; Insecta; Coleoptera; Histeridae.